Molecule: ribosomal RNA, 274 nt
Filed under: uncultured bacterium
Lineage: Bacteria
Description: partial 16S ribosomal RNA
Rfam family: Bacterial small subunit ribosomal RNA
Source: RNAcentral
AUACGAAUGGUGCAAGCGUUGUUCGGAAUCACUGGGCAUAAAGAGCACGUAGGCGGCGAGGCAAGUCGGUUGUGAAAUCCCCCGGCUCAACCGGGGAAUAGCAACCGAAACUACUUGGCUAGAGUGUGGGAGGGGAGAACGGAAUUCCUGGUGGAGCGGUGAAAUGCGUAGAUAUCAGGAGGAACGCCGGAGGCGAAAGCGGUUCUCUGGCCCACAACUGACGCUGAGGUGCGAAAGCUAGGGGAGCAAACAGGAUUAGAAACCCCAGUAGUCC